Molecule: ribosomal RNA, 417 nt
Filed under: uncultured bacterium
Lineage: Bacteria
Description: partial 16S ribosomal RNA
Rfam family: Bacterial small subunit ribosomal RNA
Source: RNAcentral
CCUACGGGUGGCAGCAGUGGGGAAUUUUGGUCAAUGGGCGCAAGCCUGAUCCAGCUAUUCCGCGUGUGGGAUGACGGCCCUCGGGUUGUAAACCACUUUAGUAGAGAACGCAAAGGAGCUAUCGAAUAAAUAGCUCUGGUGACGGUACUCUAAGACUACGCACCGGCUAACUACGUGCCAGCAGCCGCGGUAAUACGUAGGGUGCGUGCGUUAAUCGGAAUUACUGGGAGUAAACGGUGUGCAGGCGGGUGAGUAAGACAGAUGUGAAAUCCCCGGGGCUAACCUGGGAACCGCAUAUGGGACUGGUUGGCUAGAGUGCGUCAGAGGGAGGUGGAAUGCGAGGUGUAGCAGUGAAAUGCGUAGAUAUGUGGAAGAACACCGAUGGCGAAGGCAGCCUGCUGGGACGCAACUGACGCU